Molecule: transfer RNA, 78 nt
Filed under: Cricetulus griseus (Chinese hamster)
Lineage: Eukaryota; Metazoa; Chordata; Mammalia; Rodentia; Cricetidae
Rfam family: tRNA
About the family: Transfer RNA (tRNA) molecules are approximately 80 nucleotides in length. Their secondary structure includes four short double-helical elements and three loops (D, anti-codon, and T loops).
Source: Rfam by way of RNAcentral
GUGGUUUUAGCUCAAUAGUAGAGAGGUUGUCUGGUAAACAUGAAGCCUUGUAUGUAACUUCCAAUAUUACAAACAACC